RNAcentral lists this ribosomal RNA (446 nucleotides) under uncultured prokaryote. Its description in RNAcentral is "bacterial SSU rRNA". It matches the Rfam family "Bacterial small subunit ribosomal RNA", at positions 355 to 796 of the family's 1533-position model. The record is from RNAcentral.
UCGAGAAUCUUCCGCAAUGGGCGAAAGCCUGACGGAGCGACACCGCGUGCAGGAUGAAGGCCUUCGGGUUGUAAACUGCUGUCACGCUAUAGGAAUGUGCUGUCGUUAAUAGCGGCAGUGUUGACUAAAGCGAGAGGAAGCACCGGCUAACUCCGUGCCAGCAGCCGCGGUAAGACGGAGGGUGCGAACGUUGUUCGGAAUCACUGGGCAUAAAGCGCGCGUAGGCGGUCCACUAAGUCAGGUGUGAAAUCCCCCGGCUCAACCGGGGAACUGCACCUGAUACUGGUGGGCUCGAGGACGGUAGGGGUGAGCGGAACUCCAGGUGGAGCGGUGAAAUGCGUAGAUAUCUGGAGGAACACCUGUGGCGAAAGCGGCUCACUGGGCCGUAUCUGACGCUGAGGCGCGAAAGCUAGGGUAGCAAACGGGAUUAGAUACCCCCGUAGUCC